UCUCUUUAAUUCUUGACAGAUUUGUUCUGCUCAGAACGAAAUGACAUUCAGUUGCUCCCAUAUCGUAUCCAACCUCACAGUUCCGGGUUGCACUUGAGUAGCCUUCAGCCUUGGCCGUGACUUUGUACUCGCCAGGAUUUAAGAGCCGCCAAUAGUCUCCGUCAGUUGCUGGAACAAAAGAUGCGUCCACAGAUUAAAAGACACAGCUUACUUGGUAUAUUAGCACUACCGGUCCGCACUCCGAUUUACAAUUAGACUUCAAUUGGAAAUCAGCUGCAGUUUCGAGUGCUGUUGAAGGCAGUGAAGCAGGUGGAGCCUGGAGGCAUUUCGCUGAAUCUCUACAGUGUUGAAGCAGGCUCUUCGGCCCAACAAGACCACUCCAACCCUCAGAGCAUCACACCCAGACCCAUACCCCUAUAACCCACCUAAUCUACACAUCCAUGAACACUUUUGGGCAAUUUAGCUUGGCCAAUCCAUCUAGCCUGCACAUCUUCGGAAUGUGGGAGGAAACCGGAGCACCCGGAGGAAACCCACGCAGACACGGAGAGAAGGUGCAAACUCCACACAGACAGUCACCCAAGGGUGGAAUCAAACCUGGGUCCCUGGUGCUGUGAGGCAGGAUUGCUGACCACUGAGCCACCGACCUGGACAGUGUGGAACUCACCAACCAGCAGCUGCAGGCCUAAGAAAUCAAGAAAUAUUUGAAGAGUUUUCCUGAAGCAGGGCCAAUGAGGGUGUUGCCAGUACGUUUGAUGGAGCGGAUUUGACAAAAAAAAGAAUUUAAAUCAAGCUGAAAAGACACUGGAAACCCAGCAUAAGCCAUUUCUAGUAUAACUCACUGACAUUUAAUACUCCAGAAACUUUUGUGUUGGUUUGGCUGAAUUCACUGAUGUAACCAAAGGAAACAGGAGACAUUCAGCCCCAAGACCUUUAAUACAUACUGUUGUGGAUUGGCGCCUGGAGCAACUUUCCUAUGAUAUCACAUGGCUGCUCCCCACUGGGCAUCAGUAGUGGUGUGGGAGGAAUACAAAGGAAGACAGAAAGACACAGAGGCCAAGGAAGAAGCUUUAAAUCUAGCUGUUUGAGUGUAGAAACAUAUGUAGAGAAGCAUGUAGAAUUAGACUUACUAGUAGUAGGUGGAAGACCUCGUGGAAUGGUUUCCAAUAAUAUGACAGUAAGAUG
Long non-coding RNA from Stegostoma tigrinum, 1182 nucleotides. RefSeq lists it as uncharacterized. NCBI's taxonomy places the organism in Eukaryota, Metazoa, Chordata, Chondrichthyes, Orectolobiformes, Stegostomatidae. The record is from RefSeq and is a predicted model, not a curated record. The transcript has 3 exons.